GCCUAACAGCUAGCCCUCCCAAUUUUACCAAAACCCCGCCAUACAUAAUUUUACAGUAAGCACUGACUAAACAAACCAUUUUUCCCCCUAAGUACGCGUGACGGAAACGGAGACCACAGGAGCGAUAGAUAAAGUACCGCAAGGGAACGCUGAAAAAGAAAUGAAACAACCCUCCUAAGCGCUAAAAAGCAGAGGUUAACCCUCGUACCUUUUGCAUCAUGAUUAAGCCAGUAUACUAAAGCAAAGCGCUCUUUAGUUUUUUACCCCGAAACUAGACGAGCUACUCCGAGACAGCCUAUAUGAAAUAGGGCUAAUCCGUCUCUGUGGCAAAAGAGUGGAAUGAUCUUUGAGUAGAGGUGACAAACCUACCGAGUCUAGUAAUAGCUGGUUGCCUAGGAAAUGAAUAGAAGUUCAGCCCUCCAACACGCCCCACCCCGACUGCAGUACUGAGCAACUUCGGCCCCGAGGCCCAACAGAGGAGUUAGUCAAAGAAGGUUCAGCUUCUUUGAACAAAGAAACAACUUUUAAAGGAGACUAAAGAUCAUAAUUAACAAGGAGCAAUUGUUCUAGUGGGCCUAAAAGCAGCCAUCUAAUCAAAAAGCGUUAAAGCUUAUACAAAACACCCCAUCCCCACGAUUUUGAUUUAAACAUCUUAUAUCCCUAAAGCUACUAGGCUACUUCAUGCCCCCAUGAAAGAAACCCUGCUUAAAUAAGUAAUAAGAGGGAACGACCCUCUCCUUGCACACGUGUAAGCCGGAUUGGACCAACCACCGACACUUAACGCCCCCAUCUUUUUACAAGAGGGCCCUGAGGGGGACCUGCCUAAGGACCAGAAAAUACCUCAACAACCAAGCGUUAACCCCACACUGGAGUGCUUYUUAGGAAAGACAAAAAGACAUGGAAGGAACUCGGCAAAUAAAAGCCUCGCCUGUUUACCAAAAACAUCGCCUCUUGCAAGAACGUGAAUAAGAGGUCUCGCCUGCCCAGUGACUUCAAAAGUUCAACGGCCGCGGUAUUUUGACCGUGCGAAGGUAGCGCAAUCACUUGUCCUUUAAAUGAGGACCUGUAUGAAAGGCAUGACGAGGGCUUAGCUGUCUCCCCUGUCUAGUCAAUGAAAUUGAUCUCCCCGUGCAGAAGCGGGGAUAGUACCAUAAGACGAGAAGACCCUAUGGAGCUUGAGACUAUCGAACGGCCCAUGUUAAACUUCCCAUUAUAAGUGGGCAGACCCAUAAUGAGUUACUCCGUCCUUAUGUCUUUGGUUGGGGCGACCAUGGGGCAAAGAAAAACCCCCAUGAGGACUGAGGGCCCUCCCCCCUUACACACUUCCCUCAUAGCCGAGAGCUUUCCACUCUAAGCAUCAGAACUUCUGACCUUAACGAUCCGGCCCACCGGCCGAUCCACGAACCGAGUUACCCUAGGGAUAACAGCGCAAUCCUCUCUCAGAGCCCAUAUCGACGAGGGGGUUUACGACCUCGAUGUUGGAUCAGGACAUCCUAAUGGUGCAGCCGCUAUUAAGGGUUCGUUUGUUCAACGAUUAAAGUCCUACGUGAUCUGAGUUCAGACCGGAGCAAUCCAGGUCAGUUUCUAUCUAUGACUUGCUCUUUUCUAGUACGAAAGGACCGAGAAGAAAGGGCCUAUACCACAGGCACGCCCUACCCCCACCUGAAGAAAUCAACUAAAAUAAGCAAGAGGGCAAACCCCUUAAGCCCCGGCCAAAGAUAAUGGCAUAUCAGAGCAGCAAACCCCAACAAUUGCUACAAGGCAUAAGCCCCCACAUAGAGGUUUAAACCCUCUCUCUGAUCCCACCACACCCCCACCUGAAUCGACCAACCAUAUAAGGGAGGGAGGAGGGGGACGUGGAAUUAACGCGCUGGUGUGGAAGUUACCGGUAAUUAUUACUAGCCUAACUCCUCUAAAACCCCAACUCAAGUGCAGAACUAUAUUGUAACAAACUACUAGCGUCUUUAUAGG
RNAcentral lists this ribosomal RNA (1971 nucleotides) under Scopelarchus sp. ausc01. RNAcentral describes it as "16S ribosomal RNA". The stretch from base 75 to 1728 matches the Rfam family "Bacterial large subunit ribosomal RNA". The record is from RNAcentral. Lineage: Eukaryota; Metazoa; Chordata; Actinopteri; Aulopiformes; Scopelarchidae.